UUUAAGACUAUCUGCAGAAAGGUUUGAAUGCUUUGGACAGGAUAACCUAAUAUGCUUCACAUCCUGGAACCAAGGCAAAGGCCUUCUUUAUGAUGUCGAUAAGAAGGUGUGGUCUUGGAUUGCUGGGUGUGCUCUUCAAUCAUAUAACAGCCAAGUCUGCUUCUACGAGCCAAGGUUUGAUGCUUCAAUAUACUAAAGUAGUGUUUAACUUAAAUAUCCAAAUUACUUCUUAGGGGGACAUGAGCUAUCUGGAUGAUUUAGCAAUCUUGUUUCCUUCAAUUCCCUUCUGCCUGCUGUUCACCAUUGAAAUUUCCUUAAGCUAGAUUCUCAAGCUUAGAUUUACCCACCUUAAUCUAUCUGGUUAAAAGUUUCGAACUCGUAUGCAAAUUCCGCUAGUUAACUGAAGUGAGUAAUUGGAUGAGGUUUCCGCGUGAACAUUAAUGGCUACAGUGGUAUUCAAGGAGGAGGAAGAGGUUAAAAUGUUUCCUUGCUUGGACGAGGGAUCAUGAUGGCCUGAGCAUUGGGCAUCUUCUUGAGAUGACCAUGCAGAUGCACAAUUCGGAAGUACAGAUGUAAGAUAAAGUUUUGUUCCAGCUUAUGUACAUUGUUUUUCUCUUUGUAAUUAAUUAGCACAUACAUGUUGCUUUUCUUAACUGAAGUAACAAAAAAGUGUCUCUUCAUCUUACAUCUGUGCUCUUUAUUAUCUCACACUAUCAAUAGUAAGUCCGUUUGUUACACAUUUAUGGCGAUCAAGCUGUACGGUAGUUAAGGAAAAAGGGGCACUUUCUUAAAGGACUAACUAUUGCAGAGAAGGUAGACAUUACGUGGUUAAUAAUUGUUCAAGCACUUUCUUUUGUUUAGAAUGGUGCUUAUAACGGUUGCUACUGUUUUAAUUAUGUUACAUUUUUUAUAGUAUUUUGAAGUUGUGACCUUUUUUGUGUUGUUAUCUGCAUCAGACUACUCAGUAUGGUUAACUCACUUAUGGUUGUCUUUCUUGCUCUGUUCUUUCCGUGGUUGAUGCUUUGUGUUUCCUCAUAUCCAUCCUUAGCUUCAACUUGCAUUGCUCAGAUGCUUACUGUUAGAUAUAUAUGAAAUAUUUUUGGACCCUCUCAGACAUCGGUUUGUGCGUAUAUUAUCCUUAUCAAUCCCCAAUUAAGCUGUCACGUUUCACUUUUUCCUGGGUCAAUACUUAUUGAGAUUGGACGAUGGAUAAACUCUACCCUUUUAAAAUUGAAUUUGGAGAUUCAGAAACUAUCUUAAACGACUUUAAGUGAUAAAAUCUAUAUUAAAAAAAGGUAAAAAGUAAAAGAACUUAUUCAAAUUAGCAUGGUUGAAUAUUAGGUUGCAAAAUUUUACAUUUUCUCAGGCAGGACUCAUUUAAUUACAUAAUCUACUAUAAAUAUCAGAAAUAAUGUUUUCUGUCCUCAUCUGUCGAAUUAGAUGGUUAUUUUCACCCCCACAUUGAUGAAUUUGCUUCACUUCUUUUAGUCAUAUGUUAUAUGCUUCCUAUUUCCUGCUCAAUUGAACAUUCUUGCACAAACCAUGUUGUUGAUCACUUGAUAUACUGGCUUGGAGCAUCUCUUUCAAAUAGCUUCGUAUCUGUACAGCCCGCUUCCUCUCCUUCCCUUGUUUUUCCUUUCAAGGUUGCAUUUGUAGUACUUGGGUAAUUAGGCCAAGUAUGAACUAAGAGUGAAAAAUGAUAAACUCUAAGAAAUGCGUAAUUUUGUCUUGGGGGGGGGGGGGGGGGUGUAGGGAGUCCCUCAGUAUACCACCAACAGAAGCAGAGUUAGUAUUAGCAUCAGUAGUGAUCUCAUACUAAAGUUGAGGGAGGAGAUUUCCAGAUCACAAAAAUGGGUUGUUCAAUGAAUUUGGAAAUUUUAAGAAGAAAGACUUCACUAAUAAGCAACCCAAUGGAAAUCAGGCUUUUGAUGGGCGGGUUUGUUUGUUCCUGAAUAAUAUCCUUAUUUCUGGUAGAUGAUAUGUUUUCCUUCCUUAAUAUAUCCUAGCAAUUUGCUUGGUAGUUUUCAACCAUAUGCACUUGAAAAGUAAGUCUAGAUCUAAGGACUUGAAGCUAUACCACUUUGGCUUUAGGAUACGUUCCAAGCACAUGGUAAAUUUACUACUCUGUUUGACCAAUAUCAUAAAGGAUUCUGGUGCAUGGAUUUUCUUCUUCUUUUAGACAACUUUUACAGGAAUCUUCUUCAAAAAAAAAAAAAAAGAAUCCUUAAAACCGUCCAAACGCAAAGCCUAACGACUAAACACCAUUUUAGUUCAUAUCAAGUUCUGAAGAAAUUGAUCCGACAUGAACAUUGAUAUCCACUUGGAAGAAAAUAAGUUGCACCGUGCACGCAUCAUAUGGUUGUAUUUUUCAUUUUUUUUUGUAUUGAUUACGUAUCUCUUUAGAGGAAGGUCAAAGUAUAACACCUUGACACCUCAAAGUACAUCGUUAUUGAACAUUAUAAAUUUGUAAUCAUAUCAACAUUGUAGUUGCCCAACGCUUAAAAUAGGUUCGGUACAAUCUUAUGUUACCACUCUCUGUUAAAGAUAUUUAUGUUUGUUGGAAUCUAUUCUGCUCGUCAUGGUGGAAAACUGACACAUGGUUAAGGUGAAAAAGGGAGACAAGGGCAUUGGUACUCGUAGCCCCUUACUCAUCCUACACGUGUCUAAUCCCUUUUCUUUGGGAUUUAACUAUCUCCUAAUCGGCCUAAUUUCGUAUCACGAGCAAAUACAAUUCCUUCUUAUGUAUUUUGUCAUUUCUUGAUGUUGUAAUAUGCCUAUGAAGUGUUUUUCCGAUGCAUUUCGUCGAAACAAAACGUCUUGGUUUCCGUUAAGACCCUGCAUUUUGCCAAUAUGCAGUAAAAGUGAGGUUAAGUGAAACCAGGGGGAAAGAAGACCAAGAAACCGAGUUGGAGCAGGAACAACACAGUUUUCAAGGAAUAACCACAAGUAUCUAUAAGUUGGAGGGCAUACCCCUCGUAUCAUAAAGCUCCUUUCAGUUUCUUCUUUUUGUAAUUCCAUGCAAAGACCACGGGUUACUGCUAAAAAUAAUUAUUUCAAAUUAUUUAUUAUUUUAUAAAUUCAAGAUAAAAUUAAUUAUUUUUUUCUUUUUUUUACCCUUAGUAAUAAAUAUUCUUGAAGAUGGAAAUAACAUAUUAAUAAAAUAAAUAUUCAAUGAAGAGAGAUUUUUUUCUUAAAACAUAAAUAAGAGUAAAAUAGUCUAAUCCCUUUCCUAAUUAAUAUUUCUUAAGGGACGUGUAAAAGAGAAACACAACAGAUAAUUUAAAACAGAGGGAGUAAAAAAAUAUGCCCCCUUUCUUUUUCUUUCUACUCGCUCCAUCUCAUUUUAUGUGAUACACUACUCGAUACAGAGUUAGAACGAAAGAAUUUUUUUUAAGUUUAUAGUCUAAAUAAGUCAUAAAAUUUUGUAUGAUUAUAAAUCAUCGCAUUAAGAAUACAAUGAGAAGUUUAAAAUUAAAUUUUUUAAAAAUAUUACUCCUAAAGGAUAUGAAAAGUGCAUCAUAUAAGUGGGAUAGAGGAGUAUGCUUUACAUCUAUUUUGGACAAAAAUGAAAAAACUACGUACCCAUCCAAAGCAUGCCUAUUACAGUAGUUUAUAGUUCCACACACACUUUUAACUUUACUAAAGCUGGUAAUCGAAUCUUUGACUCAGGUCUGAGUACAUUUGCUGGUAACUCCAACUCCGUUAAUUAUAUACUGAUCUGAAUGCAGCAUUGCAGGUGGAGUGUUUAAUUCGUUUUGCUUUGUUUGAAUAUGGACGCGUAACAGCUCAUCAUCUUUUAUAAAUUACUGACAAAUUUUGAUUAAAAGUAAAAAAGUUUUGACUUGUUCAAAGUUUAGCACGCAGUAAUAUACAACUGCAUAUCUGUGCCUAGAAAAUCCCACCACGUUUGCUAUAGUUCUCAAAUAUCUACUGCCAUUGCACUCGAUUAAUGUGUCUUUCGCAAUUAGUGUAUGUACAUGAAAAUUGAAAAAUAUAUAGGACUCCUGGUUUUCGAUAGUAUAGUUAAAACCUCUACGAUGAGAGAGGAUUCUAUAGUUGUCAGCAAAAAGAAAGAUUCUAAUUAUAAUGAAUCCUCUAAUUAAAUACUUUAGUUGUACAUAUUAACCUGCAUAUAGAAGGGAAUUAAUGUAGAGUAUUCAUACAAAUGACCUCUCAUAAUUCGGGAUUAUGACAUAGUUGAUUAAUUGACAGAUCAAUCAAAUCCUCAAACUAGCUAAUGCUAGUACUUGUACACAACACAAGACUAUAUUGAUUUCACUUUAAACUUUGUUUCAAUCAAUUCAUAGUCGAUUAUAUACCACUUAGAUGAUUGAAUCAAGUUAGCAUCCUUUUUAUAACUCCUUUAUGUCAAAGGUAAAUAACGAUUAAAACCAAGACAGAUCGAACGUGAAAUCUGCCUUUGGCAUUCAUGUCAGAGACAAAUAUGUCUAAUUGAGAUUACCGCACGACAGUCAAAUAUGUUCAAUUUUUUCCACUUUUUUUUGGUACGAUUAAUCCUUGGGAUGAACAUGCAUUUAAUUCAAGCAACCUUAAUUUGUGAAGGUAUACUGCAAGAAGUCAGUACUGCAAAAUUGAAAAAUGUCUUUUGAGAGGAGAAAAAUAAGAUUCCUACAAUUUUUUUCAUUUAAAACAAUUUAUGAAUUGAGAUUUCCGAAGUACUGUAAGAUAUUACGGUUCAUAUUAGAAUAAGACAGGUGUCGGGACCUCAGCUUUGACUCAAGUUUGAUUUUUGAACUCUAUAAAAACCGAUUCUCCUAUAUAUAUUACUGCCUCUCUUUUUUCAUGAGGAAAUACAAAUGUUUCAUGCUUUUAACAAAAGAAGAAUUUUCUCCUCAGGAAUGGCUUCAGUUUUUAGUUUCGUUGUGCUGGUAAUACUCCAUGUUAUGAUCAUUGCUUUUUUAGUUCUACGACAGUCCUCUUCAGGACAUGCUCAGUUACGUAAGUACACUAUAUAUGUAUAUAUUUUGACAUUUUUACAGUAUUUAAUACUAACUGGCCAUUUUCCCCCCUUUCUGAAUUAGGAGAAAGAAGCAAUUUUGUCACCAUUUUGUACCCUACAGAGACAGAAGCAGUUCUUCUAAAAGACGUAAGUUUGAUUUUUGAAGCUUUCCCCUUUGAUUUGACAACGGAAGUAUAUUUUUUAUGUAAGAAUAUAUCAUUUUUCAGUGUUUGAUUAGUUAUCUGCGAGCUAGGAACACAUUUUCCAUUGAAAUGAAGCAUUAAAAUGAAUUCAACUAACAUUUGCGCAGAUUAUUGUUAAUUUUUCUUACUUAAAAAUUUCAUCAAAACUCUCUUCAAUAUUAUUAUUAUUAAUGUUUAAUGUUUAAUAUAUACAAAUUUUUCACAAAAUAUUUUCCACUCGUCAACCAGAUAAUAGAAAAUAUUUUCCAUGGAAAAUGAUUCUCAUUGUGCCAAAUACCGUCAAUUCUGGAUUCUUGAUUUUUACUACAAUUAAUAGUUGGAGUAUUUUUUGUACGCUAGCUCAUGAGCAUCUCUAUUGACAAAUCUGAACAGGAUUCUCCAGACUAUAUUAUCAUUACUUCAGCUGCUGGGGGAAGAAAAAUGCUAAUGGAUCAAUUUUCAAGUAAGGUAGUGAAGGAAAAGCAUAUGUCUGACAGAAGAGCUUCAAUUGUUUUAGGUACACAACAAGUAUAUAGCAAGUCAUUUUCUAGCCUUUAAUUAGGAUUUAGUAACUUAUAUCUACUAACACUGUUACAAAAAUUUUACACAUUAAUUAAAUCAUGCUAUAGAAAGUUAUUAAUUACCUUGUUUUUCAUAUUACUAGUUCCACUUGUUAUGAAUAGUUAUCUAUAAUUACCUUUAAAUAAUCUUGAUUGUGUAAGAAAUUUAACAUUAUCGAUUUUAGUUAGGUAAUAUUGAUGUUGGGCAAGGAAAUAUUUGUAUUUUUUGGAUUUUCCUCGUUUAAUUAUUUAUUUAAUGUUAUGGUUAUGUUUCGAUAUAUAUAUGUAUAUAGGAGAUGCUACAAGUGAAUCAAAGAAAGCUCCUCCUCAAGUGCAACUACAACAUCACAUGAGUGCUCAGGUUUUCUUCUCUCUUUUUCACAAACUUCCAAAGGAACAAAUUAACAGACACACAUCUCAAAAAAUUCUAUGGUUUUUGCUUAGAAAUUAAGUGAUACUAUAUUUUGAAAGAAAUUUAAGUGAUUAUAGAAAUGAACAAAAUCAGUCUAGUUAGCGUACGUCCCGACCUAAGACAAUACUAGAUGUCAACUUUUUAGUAAGAGUUUAAAUUUUGUGCACUCUUACAAUAUCAGCUUAAGUUAAUCACUUUGAAAACCUGAAAGAUAGAGUAAAUAACAUGUUAUAACAUAUGUUAAACUAUACUGAUCGUUGAUGUAAAAUGUUUUAUGUUGCCUAUGUAUAGAUAUACUCCUAUAACUUAUAUCCCUUUUUUUUAUUACUUGCGUUUUGAUAUACUGAAUUUAUGAUAGGUGGAUGGAUCAAAGGAGUUUCGUGAUGCUGAAAAUGAAGUAGCAAAACUUAUGAGCAAAGACUACAGCGGAAGAAGUGGACCUCGCCGAAAGCCGCCGAUUAAUAAUCACGAGCCUACAGACUAAUUAAAUUAAAACAUCAGUAAAAUUUCAUACUGACAUAGUGACAAUAUACUGUUUAAUUAGUAGCAGUAUUCACAUUUGGGCCUCACAAUUUUGACCCCUACAAGUGAAGGCCCAAAUAUAUUAUACAUAAAGAAUAGAUGAUCUGAUAGAGCAGUGUAUCUUGUAGAAUCAUGUUUGUUAUUGUACAUUUGUUUUAUUUCUUUCUUUAUGUAUUGUCAAUGUAAGUGUGUGUAUACGGUCGAAAUCAAGAUCGUCUACGACAUGGUAGGUCAAGUUCGGAAUAUGGCAAUAAAGGACGGAAGAUUGGCCCUAAGUUCCACCGGGCUAGAACCUGGGGUUGGAACGCGCGCCUUCGAGAAUAUCGAGGCCGUGAUCCCGGAAUCGAUCCUAGCCCCGAACGAGCUCGAAGAAAUAUUGUUACCAUAAUAGAAGACCGAGAUAUCCGUGACCGGUUGGAUAUUACGGCGGGAAUCUCGGCACGCAUCAAUGAGGAACUGGUAAUCGGCAAAUCAAGAGAUUUUUUUAUCUUUUAUAGAAUUGUACCUAAAGUAGGAUUCCUCUCUAUAUAAAGGGGGUCUGAUAAUUCAUUUAGCGCAUUGUAACACGCAUUCCAAAGUAAUAUAUUAUUAUUUUUCUCUUUAAGCUCUUAUUUUUCUGUAUCGUGAUACCGAUCAAAGUGCAUCUCACUCGAGGGUGGCUAACCUUCCGAGAUUGAAACUAUCCAAUUCGUGUGGUUUGAAUUUACUUUAUCAUUGCUUAUUUUAAUUGCAACUUAAUUUAUCACUUUAUAUCAACUAAUUUGCAGAUCCUUAAAACCGCUUACAAAUUCAAUUGUUAUCCGAUUUUGAGGAUAAAUAGUUUGGCGACUACCGUGGGGCUAAUGAUAAUAGUGGUUAUUUGAUACAAUUUUUCAUAACACACACUUCUCUUUACACUUGUUCUUUGAAGUGUCUCUAAUUUCAGGUUAAAGCUUAAAAUAUCAAACUCUCAAUCAGCGCCCCUGCAUGUUGACAAUGAGUCCGGCCAUCAUGGUGAAAAUAACAACAUAGUGCCCAGUGACGAGGUACUGCCCAUUAAUCCAAUCGGAAUUCCGGUCGCGGACCCGAUUGACGCUAAUUCACAUGUGGCUAUCAACAUAAAUCUGUCUACCGAUCCCGAGAAUAACGUCUGUGGUGGAGCCCGAUCGGCAACUCAAAAUACACAAAAUAUUGGAGGAGAUGGGAUCAAUUUACGGAUGAUCUUUGAAAUGUUACAGGCUCAACAUGCGGCGAUAACUCAGUUACAAAACCAAAAUCGCGCACCGAGAAGAAUUGAACCCGGUCCAUCCCGGGAAGUCACCCGCAGGGACGAACCGGUCGCAGAGAGGUCGAAUGAAACAAAUCGGGGACUAACCCCUAGAUCAUAAAGAUACUCGAGGAACUGACAAAAUGUGUAGAAUCAAGGGAGAAGAAAAUCGAAGCUAAUGACAAAAAGGUAGAAACCUACAAUUCUAGGGUCGACCAAAUCCCAGGAGCACCGCCGAUAUUGAAAGGCCUCGAUUCCAAGAAGUUCGUGCAAAAAUCUUUUCCUCCGAGCGCGGCUCCAAAGUCAAUCCCUAAGAAGUUUUGCAUGCCCGAGAUUCCUAAGUACAACGGAACGACCGACCCAAACGAGCAUGUUAGCUCCUACACAUGUGCCAUCAAAGGGAAUGACUUGGAGGAUGAUGAGAUCGAGUCUGUCUUGUUGAAAAUAUUCGGAGAGACCUUGUCAAAAGGAGCUAUGAUAUGGUAUCACUACUUACCUCAUAAUUCUAUAGACUCAUUUGCUAUGCUUGCAGACUCUUUCGUGAAAGCACACGCUGAGGUUAUCCAGGUCGAGACCAGGAAGUCCAGCCUUUUUAAAGUAAAACAAAAGGACAAUGAAAUGCUCAGAGAGUUCGUGUCUCGAGUUCAAAUAGAACGGAUGGACCUGUCACCGCUCGCUGAUGAUUGGGCCGUUCAGGCUUUCACCCAAUGACUCAACAUUCGGAGCUCGUUGGCUUCACAUCAGUUAAAACAAAACUUGGUGGAAUAUCCGGCUGUCACUUGGGCCGAUGUCCAUAACCGGUAUCAAUCGAAAAUCAGGGUCGAAGAUGAUGAGCUUGGGGUCCCUUCCGGGUCUGUGUAUCCCGUCAGAACCAUCGACAGAGUCAAGAGAGACAUUGAUCGUGAACUGAGAUCAAACAGGGAUCGGUAUGAGCCGUAUAAUAAGGACUAAAGAAGCAGUGGGUCCGGACAGAACUCUAUGAGAAACGAAAGGAGAAGUGAUUGAGGUCAGAGCAACCGGGGACUCAUUAGCAAAAACAGCUUCGACAGGCCCGUCAGGCCUAAAGAAGCGCCAAGAUUAUCGGAGUACAACUUUAACGCCGAUGCCACCGAUAUCGUAUCUGCCAUUGGAUGCAUCAAAGAUACCAAGUGGCCUAGACCUUUACAGUCCGAUCCAGCCCAAAGGGAUCCCAACCUAAUGUGCAAAUAUCACGACACUCAUGGCCACAUAACAAAAGACUGACGACAAUUAAGGGAAGAGGUGGCUCGACUGUUCAACAACGGGCAUCUCCGAGAAUUCCUGAGUGAUCGGGCUAAGAACUACUUCGAGAACAGGGAUUCUGAAAAGCAGACCGGACAGGAAGAGCCUCAUCACGUCAUUAACAUGAUCAUUGGUGGAGUCGACAUUCCCCAGGGCCCGAUGCUGAAGCACACCAAAGUAUCCAUCACAUGGGAAAAACGGACUUGGGAUUACGUGCUGGAAGGAACCUUGUCUUUCAAUGAUGAAGACGCUGAUGGGAUCGUGCAGCCCCACAACGAUGCACUGGUAAUGUUGGUACUCGUAAAUAAAUCUUGAAUUAAGUGUGUGUUAACUGAUCCAGGGUAGUGGAACAACUCGGCCUACAAGAUCAGAUCGUACAUGCGGUCUGAAUCCUGAACGGGUUCAACAUGGCAUGCUAGACCACUACAGGGGAGAUAACAUUACCAGUGAACGUUGCUGAAACCGUACAGGAAUCCAAGUGCUAUGUAGUCGAAGAGGAUAUGAUAUACAACGCUCUAUUCGGGAGACCAUGGAUUCACAACAUGAGGGCAAUACCCUCGACACGACACCAGAUGCUGAAAUUCCCAACACCCGGAGGAGGCAAAACGGUUUAUGGGGAACAACCAGCCGCCAAAGAGAUGUUCAUGGUCGACGAGGUGAUCCCGGCAUCCACACUCUCAACAUCGAAGGAUCUGAAUCGAACAGUUUGUGUGAUGGACUUCACGGGUAGCUGGGAUGAUCAUCUUCCACCUAUUGAGUUUGCAUAUAAUAAUAGUUAUCAUUCCACCAUUCAGAUGGCUCCAUACGAAGCUCUUUAUGGACCAAAGUGUAGGUCUCUUAUAUGAUGGUUCGAGAUUGGGGAAACUAAGUUAGUAGGACCAGAGUUGCUACAACAGGCUGUUGAGAAGAUUAAGCUUAUAAGGGAAAGGCUAUUAGCAGCACAGAGUCAUCAGAAGUCCUAUACAGAUAAUCAAUGAUGAGACUUGGAGUUUCAGGUAGAUGACUAGGUAUUCCUAAAGGUGUCACCGAUGAAAGGCGUUAUGAGAUUCGGUAAGAAAGGAAAGCUUAGCCCUCGGUACAUUAGACCUUAUAAGAUUAUACGCAGAGUAGGCCAAGUAGCAUAUGAGUUAAACUUGCCUUCCAAAUUGGAGUCUGUACAUCCAGUAUUUCAUGUGUCUAUGCUCCGUAGGUGUAUUGGAGAUCCCUCUAAAGUCAUUCCAGUUGACGUUAUUCAGGUUACAGAGCAACUAUCGUAUUGGGAAGCUCCCAUUUGCUAUACUAGAUAGACAAGUUUGGAGAUUAAGAACUAAGGAUGUAGCUUCACUUAAAGUACUUUGGAUUAACAAUAAUGUGGAGGAGAUGACUUGGGAAGCUGAAGAAGAAAUGAAGACUAGGUAUCCUCACUUGUUUCCACUUCCUGAGAAGUAUCAGACUGAGACAUCACAGCCUUUAGGUACGUAUAUGUUACUUGAUUCUUAUGUUAGAUAUUGUUAUUGGUCGUGUGAGGCCAUUGGUGUUAUUGAUGAUUGUGGCCCUGUGUGGAUUUGUAUUGUUGGGUUUGCUGUGUGACAAGUUGGUAGUAGUACCAUUACAUAGGAGACUCUACCAAAAUUUCUAUCGAUUUUUGGGAGUUUAACAUUCGAGGACGAAUGUUUCUAUAGGGGGAUGAUUGUUACAGCCUGUGCGUCCCAAGGUGACGUAAUGAAUAUGAGACUUAUUAAUCAUGAUUUAAAUGUAUUUAAAGUCAUAAUAUGGCUAAAUAUGAUGUUUGGAUAGAAAAUAUGAAGUUUGAAAAAAAUCGGAUUAAAGUUGCGGAAACACCGACUAAGGAUUUGCCAUGUAAUAGAGCUUUUUGAGAAGUAUAUUUCGUGUAUGAUAUGAGGUAUUUUUGGGAUAUUAUAUACCAAAUUUAAGGUCUUGGAAUUUAGUUUCCAACGCACUUAAAAGUUCAUUCAUAUGACACCCGGAUAAAAAGUUAUAAGCGUUGGAAAAAGGGCCAAUCAUAGGGUGCCAAGUAGCACCUUUUUGACUUUUAAAACAAUGGGAUAUUUACAUCCCAUCUCGUCUCUUUCUCCAUUUUUCCAGAGAGCUCGCCCAAAUAACACCCCUAACUUUACUCUUAAGCUCUCUAUAAGAGCUUCAAAUAAUAUUAUCAUCCCGGGCACGGAAUCAAGAAGUAAUAACAUUAAAACGAUCCUUACGACGUAAGUAUCGCUAUAUCGCCUCUUUUUUUUUUGUAGUUUGAGUUUUGGAAGGCACUUCAUAGUUAAGAAAAUGUGUACUUUCUGUAUUUAAGUGUUUAAAUAUCAAGGAAUGUUGAUAAAUUUAUUUCCUAAUAGUUAGAACUCACGGGAGGGUGAUCGAAAACCGUGAGUUCGAGUUAUUUGACUUGUAGUAGACUGUUUUGUGGGUUGUUUCGUGUUGCCUUUGGGCUGUAUAUUUUUCUACUGUUUAAUGGAGUUUUAGAGGACAAAUGGUAUGGAGAAACACUAAAUAAUGAUGGAAUGGUGGGUUGGUCGUUCGUCGUUAUAUUUUUUUAAGUUGUUUAACACUACUUUGGUUGUCGUUUUAUGUAUAAAGUGAUUAGGGUGUGUGGGUUAUUUUGUGGUAUAUUGUGAUGGAGAUAAGGUUGGAAAAUGAUGCUUACAUUUUGUUAUUAUUGUGUUUUUGUUAUUGUUGGUAUAUGGUGUUGGAGGAGGGCCUAGUUACAGGGGAGAUGCUGCCCAAAUUUACGUAAACGAGCUACUAGUUUAAGUUGAGGACUUAGCCUUUACUCAGCACUGAUUUUGAAUCUCCUAAUGGUGUGGUAGAUUUAAUUGAGCUGUUUGAAGAAUUUCUUGGAAGGUAUUAAGGAUUCAACGGAGUUAAGGUAUGUUAAGGCUAUCCCUUCUUUCCUUUUGGCAUGAUCCAAAUGAUACAAACGAAACGAGCAAAAUACGCAACUUUCAUAAAUGACUCUAUUCAUAGAAAUACUAUGAGUGUCUAUAUUAUUGAUUACCCAUGUGAAUUGUUAUUAUAUCCUCUAUUCAUNNNNNNNNNNNNNNNNNNNNNNNNNAUCAACUGGUAUACAUUGAUGAUUUUGCCCACAGUGGCCGAGAUGAUAUGAUGGGAUGCCCUCAGAGGCUUGAUGAUGUUAUGAACGCAUAUACCUAUGAAUGGUAUGACAUUUAUACGCACAUGCAUGACAUUAUAAAUUUUCAUGAUUCACAGAGCUAUUCAAAAUUUCAGGUUGAGUUCUUUACUCCAUGUUUCAUUCAUAUCUUUUAUAUACUACUGCCAUGCCUUACAUACUCAGUACUUUAUUUGUACUGAUGUCCCUUUUGCCUAGGGACGCUGCGUUUCAUGCCCGCAGGUCCCAAUAGACAGGUUGAGAGUUCUCCUAGUAGGCUAUCAGCUCAAUAGAAGGUGUUUGUGCACUCUACUUGCUCCGGAGUUGCCUAUUUGGUCAGUAUGAUUUGAAUAUAUAUUGUUUGGUAUGACGAGGCUCUGUCCCGACCUUUAUGAUAUUUAUGUACUCUUAGAGGCUUGUAGACAGAUGUCAUGUAUACGGAUACUGGUAUGGCCUUAUAGGCCAGUACGUCAUAUGUAUAAGUCAGUAUAUCAAGUUGGGUCACCCUAUAUUGAGUAUUUCCUCAUAUUUUAUUCUACUUAUCUCACGACAACCUCUCCGGCUCAAUUACCUGUGAUAAUAUGAUACAAAAUAUACGUUACGUUGGUACUCGAUUGAGUAAGGUACCAGGUGCCCACCGCGGCCCAUCGGUUUGGGUCGUGACAAAGACCAGCGCCUCUCUCACUCACCACCCCUCUGCCGCCUCUCCAACUCGCUAGAAACACACCCAAAUCGGCACGAGUUCACUCGCUCGAGUCCGCUGGUCCCCUCUCAUCUCACCACGUCAUUGUCGUGCCCCAUUUUUUUUUCUUCUCGCGAAAAGCGGGCUUCGACGUUGUGACAACUCCUUUUUAGAAUGGGAGAUAGAGUGUUAAAGGAGAAGAGUCGUCACCUAACGAUUUUUUAAGGUGCAUUAGGGCACCUAUUCUGCAAAUAACUCUGUUUGACUAGUCAACGCCACCAAAGAUCGGGUAAGGGCUCAUGUUACCUCAAAGAGAAGAUGUUAGGCACUCCUCGAGAUCCACAACUGUGGGUCCCGGCCGAAUUUAAGAUUAUGCUUAAGCUAGGUGAUCAAAUAAACAAAGGGAGUUUAGAAGUCACAGAACUUUAUUACAACAUGAUUAAUACAGAUCUUAGUGCGAACAUGGGGAUACAAUUAUUUAGAUCUAAUAAUAACAUAUAAAGAACAGGGGGGGUCCUAAGUUUUUUAGCCUAAAGGAUCACCCCGUGUAACAUAAAUAAUACUUCGUAACUCCCUCAAGAUGGGGUAUUACUCAUAAUAUUCAGCGGGCACAAACAAUCAUCUCCUGCUACCCGAUUACUAUGUUAAAGCUGUUACCUAAAGCGCACUAAUUCAAUUAUAAGUCGUAUCUGAUGCGUGCACUACCGGUUCCAUACCUAUGGUCCAGGAUUUAUUGGACCUCUAUUUUGGAUAGUUCUAGACCUCACUUAGGCUGCUCAGAAAUGUUAAAACUAAGCGACAUACAAAAACACAUUGGACUUCAAAUAUGGCAAUUUAAGGCUCAAGUUUGCCUCCACCCUUAAACAACAAAUGCACGCGAAACAGGUUUUUCAUGUUAGGCAAUUCAGAAUUAAGGAUCUUAAAUCUCUAUAAGCAUGAUUUCUAGGUGACAGGCAUCAAGGCACGCAAGCAGAUUCAGGAACCAACGAGAUUCAUAGACAGGAUUGCAUAGGUCAUUACACACUGGUUAUUGAGAAGGCAAAUUCCUCAAUUACUAGCCCUAUAAUUGUUGCGCCUAGGUGAGUUAUGGGAUAGAGGGAGUGAAAAUUCAGAAUUACUCAUACACUUGAUAAUGGCCUAAGUGAGUGAUGAACAGUGUUUAAAGGGCGUCAUUACCAGUUAUUAAGGCGAGCAGUGGCAUCCUAUAGGCAGGAUUUCUAACGAUUAACAAUUGAGGAGUCUGAUUUUAUUGUUAGACCUUAUAGGCAGAUUCUCUAGGUGAAAUAUGCAAUACCAUAACAAAUGAUAUGAUUAGAGUCCUAUAGGCAUGAUCUCUAGUAAUGCGAAUUAACAGGAAAUUCAACAAUAUUUCCUACGGGAAGGUUCUCUAAUCAACUUAUAGCUACAAAGAUAUUGAGACACUUAAGUUCAGGCUUUACUAAUAAACAAGUAGUGCAAGUGUGUGUGUUUCCCUAAUGGCAUGCUUUCUACAGUGUACAUAGAGAAUGAAUAACAUAAGGCAAAGCAUCAUUCAAUCCUAUAGACAUGUUUUCUACCCAUCAAACGUUAAUAUUAGAAUCUACCCCAUCCCUUUUUACUAACACCUCAAUCGUUUACACGAAAAUUAUUAUUACAGACCCAAAUUAAUAAUAAAGUAGUAAUAUUACAUGGCAAUAGACAGGCCUAUAGCAGGCCCAAAUAGAAUAACUAAAUACCUAGCCUUACUGGUCCUUCAAAACUUCUGGCAUAGCAGACUUAGACCUUCAACAAAGAACCACACGAAUAGGGGAGUUCAGACCCCUUUCAAUGAGCCAUAACACCAAAUAUUGCAUCACUUGGAGCAACCAACAUAGAUUACAGUACAUGAUAGGGAAGUAGAGCAUUAGGGAUAGUUUGGAGGUUAGGAGGAGUGACUAGGGCCAAGUCCCUAGUGCGUCAGAGUUCACAAGGGCCUCAAUUAGACCCUGAGCAGUACUCACACUAGGGAGGCCAACAGAGAACCUAGGUAGCCUUGGCUUUCAGCCGGCUAAGAAUAGGAAUUCAGAAUACCAAAGCAACAAGUAAAGAGAAUGGACAGAAAUUCCCAGAGUGAUCACACAACAUAACUGGUCAGGUAGACCAGCAAAAUUAAGCAAAGUUCAGUAGCAAAGCAUCACAUAGACAAACAUCAUAGGAAAAGGAAAACAAGUUUGCAAACAUACCUAGAUUGCACUAGUUGACAUUUAAUGGCCUAAAUUAAGUCAAGUCAAACCUAAGGCCAUAUCAAUACUUGAAGAUAAUGGAGGUAUACAUAUAUUGAUUAUCACAGAAAGGAGAAAGUAGCAAGUGAACCAAGGCAUACUGAAAAAGCAUGUUCACCUAGGAGCAAGGUCCUAGUCAGUUGAAAUAGAAUGUUUGCCUUUAGAAAAUCAGGGUAGCAAGACACAAGUUUAAAAUAGAUUUUUGGGCAGUAUUACAAAAAGUACACCAUCAUACACAAGGUGCAGAACUAGUCUUAGAAGAUAGGGCAUUAUCUAAAUACAAUAGGCAAAAACAAUAUACAACCACAAUAUUGAAGUUCAAAAUUAACAUGUAAAGAUGUUACAAGGUACAGAACUAGUCUUAGGAGAUAGGGAAUUGCAGAGUGAAAAUCAUAGUGAGUCAUGACAUGAACAAUACACUACUCUCAUGCGUCAAUUAACACAGAAUGACAUCAAGUUGAACACCAUCAUAGUUGAACCAAAAUUCAGAUACAUGUGCAGAAAGAAGGGAAGAAAGUAAACAUUAUGAGGGUUUAAACACUAACCAGUAGCAGAAUCAAAAGAGUGCAAAGUGUAAUAGCAAAAACCCAAAAUUCCCGAUGUUUCAGAGUUCGCAAGAGCCUCAAAAAUGAGCUCUGGGCAGUGCUUGCACCAGAGGAGGCUAUUCAAUAAUUUUAUAGUGUUUUAGGGUAACAAUGAGUGAGUGAGAGAGUAGUGAAAAAUAGUAGCCAAAAUUAGGGUUCAGAAAAUCUCUCCCCUAAGGCGUUUCAUGAGAGGGGUUUAUAUAGUGUAGAAAUCAACCAAGUAAACAUGGAAAAUAAAUUAUUCAAAUACAAAUAAGGAAAGAUAUAGUAGAAUCAAUUAGAAUCGGUUUUUAGGGCGUAAAACAAAGGGGUUCAGUAAAUCAACAAGGAAUAACAAUUAUCACACAAAUAAUACUAAAAAUAAAGGAAUACAUAAGAUGAAACAGAGAAUAAGGAAAAUAUCAUACCAAAAAUCAUUUAUAGUCAGAUUUUGGGCAAAAUAAAUUAGAAAAUAGGGAAACAUGGCAGAUUAAACAGAAAUAAGGAAAAGAAUAGUCAAACACGGAAAAGAAAAAGUAUCAGUCAUGAAUCAGUAAGGAACAAUGAAAAAAUUCAAACUCUAGUUCGAAAGGAAGCAUAGAUAGUCGAAGAUCUCGGUGAAUCAGACCAUAUAGAGUGCAUAUAGAUGAAAUAUCGUCGAAAUCUCAUAGAUUGAAGGCGGCGGAAUCCCGUUUAGGAACUGGUACUUGCCAAAAUUGGGGCAAGUACCAUAUAACAUCAUAAUCUUAUAGACAAUAACGAGGUAACACAUAAAAGGUAAGUAAAUCACAGAGGGAGUCCAUGAUUUACUCGGAUGUGGAGAAGAUGAGGGAGGCGGCUAGGGUUUCUGAAAGAGGGAGAUGGGAGAUGCGAGGAUAUAGAGGCGGCGGGCAAAAGGUGAAUGGGGGUUAGGGUUAGAAGUUAGGUUAGUUAAAGGGAGGGUUUAAUUGUGGGCUGUUGAUCUUGAGAGAUCAACAACCAGGAUUAAAGAAAAGCUGGGGCGGGUCGUGUAAAGCGGGUACCGACCGGGUUGGGGUUAGUAGGUUAUUUGUGUUGGGACUGGGUAAAUGGGCUAGGGUCUGGGGUAAUUGGGCUGAGGUCUGGGUAGUUGUAGGUCCGAAAAUUGGCCUGUUUUGGGCCAACUAUUAAAUACACAAUAAUUAUUUUAAAAAUAAUUUAUAAAAUAACUAAUAGAUAAUAAAAUGCUACUUGUGCAAUAAAAUGACUAAAAAUAUUAACUUAAUAUUAUAAAAAUAUAAAAAUAAUACUUUGGCAUAAAUAACGUAAUAAACGCAAUUAUUUGAAGAAUAUAGGUCAUUAUUGUAAAAUUAGAUAAAUAGCUUUAAAAUGCUAAUGCAAUUUUAAAAAAUAGAAUAGAAAUGUUUGGAACAUGUAUUAUGGAUGCAAAUAAUAUUUUUGGAUAAUUAAGUCAUCACAAAAUAAUUUAAAGGAUAAUUACUAGAUAUUUAUAUAAUAAAAAUAUAAGAAAAUUAAUUUGAAGCUCUAAAAAUUAUAGAAAAUUAUGGGAAAAUACUUGUAUAGGUUUUUAAACUAAAUAAUGAUGCAAAUAUGCUAUUUUGAUAUUACAUAUGUAUUUUUAAAAAUAUGAGGGGAAAAUUGGGUAUCAACUGUCAUCAAAAUAACAAACUUCUGACAUUUGAUUCUCACUCCCUCACGCAUGUUUUCUAUCUCUUGAACGAAUUUGGAUAAAUGGUAGCCGUAGGAUCUGAGAAGUGAAAGAUCCUAGGCUUUUAUUUGUCUGAUUUUGUUUAAAAAGAUGGGGAAAAUCGAUUUUAGGGGGGAGUUCUAGAGAUUUCUUGACUUGGUAAAGAAGGUUCGGGAAGGAGUAUAUAUUGGGAUAAAUGGAGGAUUUUCGGAAAAAAAUUCAGAGAGAGAAACUUGAAAAAUAGCUAGGGUUUUGGUGUUCGUCGAGCUUACUCUCUUUUCUAAUUUUCGGAUUCUAGUUAUUUCAAAAAAAAGAUGUUCAUGUUUGAGCGCAAUUAGUAUUUACGUUUCCAGAAACAAAAAUUCCAAAAAAGAUUUUCCAUUUUUCAGUUCUUGGCUUUUCGAUUUGUAUUCAGAAAUUACCAAGUUUGAAUUUUGCUCGUGUUUGAUUUUUGGUGCGAAUUGGUUGACUCGAUUCCUAUUUCGAGCUCUCUUGGAGUUUCGAUAAGGUGCUUGGUUUAGUUUGAAGUUUGCAGUGCCGAUUCGAAGUGUCGGUUGAGGUCGAAGUUCGCGGUUCUCGGACGAAUUUUGCUAUUUCUUAUUCAGUCGGAUUUUAGGUUCAAGUUUUGUAUCGGUCGAAUUUCAAACCCGCUCAUUGAAGUCCAUUUCUAUUAUUAUUCUCUAUGUUAAAUUUUUGUGGUGAAUGAGUUUGAAGUGCGUAGAUCUCUAAUAUGUGUCAUCUUGUUUGUGUGCUUAUUUUCUUGUUACGUUAAGUAGGUGAAUGAUUAUUUGAAGGCUUUCAUUAACUUUUCUGGGACAUUGAAUAUGAAAAUUAAGUCAUGUAUUUGUUUAGAAAUUUUUCACUAUUAUUGGGCUUUAUAAAUAUAGUUGCUAAGUUUCUUUUGAAAAACUAUCUCCUUUCAUAUUUUGGUUGAGUCAAUAUCUAACUUGUUGGACUAAUAUCGGCAUAGUACUUCCAUCAAUUAAUUUCCAAGAAUUGAAAGUGCAUUUUCAGGGUUUUCACUUCAUUUUAAUUAGUAAUCUGGUUUGAAAUCUCCAUGUUUCAUUGAUUAAAAAUAAUGUUCACGACUCGUGUUAUUUAUGAUAAAGGCUUUUAACUUUGAAUAGUUCUUGUUUGAUUUGGAGAGUAAAGUUAUUCAUGAGGAUAACACACUAAUUGGUUUGAGAAUUUUACUUCGUGUCAGUAGAGUAGGCAUGCCCUCGCUUUGAAAGAUAGCUUUCGUGUAUCUUCGUCCUUGGAAAAUUUAAAGAAAGAGAAUGGGGUUUGGUUAGGUUCUAAGCUCUUACAAUACUCUUUGAAUCCAGCACACCUUAUUUUCAUUUUUCUUUGCGUUGUUUAGUUGUCAUAAUUUUCUUUCCUUUUAUGCGUUUCAUGUGUUGACCACUAUCUUUGUGUAAAUAGAUGACUUGAGUGAAUUAUUUUAACUGAUUGUUCUUAUGCCGCGGGAGCUAGGUAAAAGAUUUAGCCCAUUAGUAAUUAAGUAUUUCUCGCAUGCUUUAGGGAUCGGGCUUGGUCAAAUGCAUGAAAUGAAAAGUUAAAAGAACAUGGCCAUGAAGCGAACAAUCUUUUUUUAUUUAUUUUAGUUCUCUUUUACUUAUCUUAUUUUAGUACAUUGUUCGAUAGUAGCAUAUUUUGGCCGACCACACUUGGUUAGGCAAAUAUUAGGCAACUUAUUUAUUUUUCUUUUCGAGACUAGAGGUUUUUCCCUUAGUUAUUAUGAUCUUUUCGAGGAAGCAUUAGUAUAGGCUAGUUUAAGACUUUUAUUUCCUUUCUUUUCCUUUUUAGGUAGGGG
This 19215-nucleotide long non-coding RNA is filed under the name Nicotiana tabacum (common tobacco). Its description in RNAcentral is "long non-coding RNA (NTAB_LNC003820)". Lineage: Eukaryota; Viridiplantae; Streptophyta; Magnoliopsida; Solanales; Solanaceae. The record is from RNAcentral.